RNAcentral lists this small RNA (3465 nucleotides) under Rattus norvegicus (Norway rat). Its description in RNAcentral is "uncharacterized LOC108350725". The record is from RNAcentral. Lineage: Eukaryota; Metazoa; Chordata; Mammalia; Rodentia; Muridae.
GUGUGUGGCGGGGUGGGGGCAGGCAGUUUGCUGAGCCAGCUCAAGUGUGCAUGGUGAGCAGUGCAGGGAGGGCAUGGGUGCUGAAGGAAAAUGUCCCUCCCAGGACAUGCGCAGGUUCGGUCCACACCGGCUCUGUAUACUUUGCUAAUGCUUAUUCCAUUGUGGUUCCACACAAAUUAUUUUCUCCUAACAACAAUAUGGAGACGAGAAGGCAGGGCUAUCUGAGGCCCUGGCCACUUUCUGGUUGAGGUCCUUGCUUCACAGAGGCAUGAAAAGAAUGUGUUUGUGAGGGAAGGGGAGACAUUCCGGGUCAGUCCUGCAGCUCAGAGCAUCACGGGGCUGGAGCUUUGCUGAGUCACGGUGCCUAGGCAAAGGGAAAUAGCAGCUGUGGCGCUGCAUGUCUGGGAGGAGAGGCUGGUGUGAAGAAGACAGGGUGUCAAGUCACACCCAGAAAUUACUGAUACAGUCCUCUUAGCCCGCUUGCACUAGGGAUCCCUGUCUGCAACUUCCUGGCUGAAAUGACAGGUGCUGACUGGAUUGGACGUCUGAUGCCGUGGUUAGUGUCUUUCAUGCUCACGGGUAACAGACUCUGAACCCGCUCCUUCCUGCUGAGCAGUUCUGAUGCUGGGCAGUCUGGUGGGAAGGAACACAAAGCAGAUGCUUAGCCAAUCAGGACGCUGCACUCAUUUGCCCACAGUAAGGAGUGGGCUGGAGAUGGCACAGUCAUGGAGGCUCCAACAGCCUCUCGAUGGUACCCUUCACCUGUCAGGUGAACGACCACCACCGUUUUGAGCCAUGACUGCUCUCUGGGAGAAGGAUGAGCUCACUAGUGACAAGAGUGGCCUUCUUUCCUUCCUUUUCCCCAAAUACUGAGAGAAGUGGGAGGCCAGCCUGCAAAUGUCACAGAAGCCUAUAAAAUGCUGAGCUCAGACGGAUGCCAGGCAUAGCUGGGGUUGCUGGGCUGAUGAGAUGGGCGACUCCAUCAUCUGCUAAGAAUCCAUUGUUCUGCAGCGGCUUGGACACAAUGGUGAGGCUGAGGCAGGGGAGACAGAGGGGGGCAGGGUGGGUACAGUGACUAGGCGUUUCUCUUCGAACCCCGGCUUUUCGUGGGGGUGUGUGUGUGUAGAGGGGCAGGGCAGGGUUAGUCAACAGGCAGUCAGUCCAUGGGUGGGAUGAGAACACCCCAAACCAGGGCCACAAAUUCCCCACCUUACAAAGCAGAGCAAAACAAAACAAAACAAAACAACCAACACCCAAACAAAGAAAGGGAGGCGGGAGGCAUCUCUUUGGAAAGAUUUUGAAGUUCUUUGCUUAAAAGGAAACUUCGAAGUCUCUAAGGGCAAAUCUAGAAUUUUCCUCAGUGUUUCAUGUUUGGAGUUCCAGAUGGUAGGUGGGCUUCAUGAACUCCACAGGGCGAAGGCACGUUGUGGAUUAUGAGUGUGUGCAGUCAAGGAAGACCUUGAAAUUCUGCUGGGAUUACAGUGGUGCACCUCCAUGUCCGGUUCAUGCUGCACUGGGGAUGGAGCCCAGGACUUUGUACAUGCUAGACAAGUGCUCCACCAACGGUCACAUCCCCAGCCCUGGGCUAGGACUGCUACUGGGUUUACUGGUGCUGGGAUUCCCUUGUGGGCAGGAGAUGGUUUGACAAGCAGGCUGUGAGUGGCCCUAACAGACAUACCCCCUCCCCCCCGGAUGGGUAGAGAUUUUAUCUUUAAUUUUAAUCAUUUUUAUGAUUUAUUUUACCUAUAUGACUGUUUAGACUGCAUACAUGUAUUUAUACCACAUGCGUGCCCAGUGCUGGAUAAAAUCAAAAGGUCAAAAGGUCAAAAUGAGGCCUUGGAUUCCUUAGAAUUGGAGUUACAGAUGGUUGUGAGGAACCAUGUGGGUCCUGGGAAUGGAGCACAGGUCCUCCACACGAACCCUUAAGUGCUCAGCCCUCUCCAGCCCUGGAACACACGUUUGAUCCUCUCCAAAGGGCUGGCACUUCAGGCAGGAUUGGAUGCUGCUUUGUUCUUUUUUACUUCGGUGUGCUUUUUUUUUCCCAGAAGUUUUGCAUAUACAUUUAUCAAUGUUAAAUUAUAUAAUAUGUGGUUAUAUUCUUCUUAUGCAAGGAACCGAGGAGAUGGCUGUGAGUGAAGAGCUUACCACACAAGCAUGAGGCUCUGAGCUGGACUCCUAGAGCCCAUAUUAAAAAGCUGGAGGGUGUUUCAUGUUUGUAAGCCUUGUGCCAGGGAGGUGGGAACAGGCAGGUACCUGGAACUCACUGGCUGACCAGGCAGCCUAGUCUGGUCAUAGUGUCCCAGAGAUCUCAAACCUUCUAUCUCCCUUCCCCCCAAAAUAGAGGUGCUGGAGAGACGACUUAGGGUGAAGCACGCUGGCUGCUCUUGCAGAGGACACACGUUUGGCUCCCUGCAACUGCAGGGUGGCUCACAACCAUCUUGUUUGCUUGGCUUGCCAUAUUCCAAUUUGCUUGUUUUUUAUUGCUCUUAUAUUAUUACUAUAAUUAUUCCUUAGAUGUGUGUAUGGAUGUGUACCACAUGCGUGUAUGGAUGUGCACCACAUGCGUGUAUGGAUGUGCACCACACGCAUGCCUGAUGCCACAGAGGUCAGAAGAUGGUGCUGGAUCCCUUACAGUCUCAUUGAUUUUCUCAAAGAACCAACUUUUCGUUACAUGGAUUCUUUGACUUCUUGUUUGUUUGUUUCCAUUUUAUUAAUUUCAGUCCCGAGUUUGGUUAUCUCUUGCCAUAUAUGAUUGUUGGGUGUUAUUUCUUCUUUCUAUUCUAGAACUUUCCUGUGUGUUGUUGCUAAUAUGAGACACAGGGGUGGGUAAUGAGGGAGGCUGUGGAGAUCUGUGUGAUCUGCUAGAGAUGGGGCCAGAGAGGAAGGGGAAGCCUCAUCAGGUGGCCGGCUUCAGAGCUGGGAAGGAGUCUGGGGGAUUGAUCUGGAGGAGAGGAAAGAGAGAGGGGAAGAUCUGCAGUUAGCCUAUCCGCUUCAGCCCUUGUGGCUGAUGGGUUCCCAGGGAAUGCCUGUGGGGGCUAAUGACUGGGACAAAGGGAUGUGUGGAGAGGAAGCUCUGGGAGAUCCACACAGUACUGGAAAUGGGGACAGAGAGGGCAAAAUAAGUAAUCUUAAAGAAAACAAAACAUGGCAGAAGGCUUCUAGGAAACAACACACAAGGCGGACCUCUGACCUCCAUACGCACAUGGGUGCACAGGCAUCCACACAGACAGAGACACCCGUGGACGUUGACAGAUCAUUUUUUUUUCUAAUUUAUGGUAAGAGUAAACAGCCACUCUCCUGUCACAUUUUUGUGCGCCUUUUCUGUGCACUAACAUAUAUCCCUAGAGAACAUGUUUCGGUUCUGGAGAGACAGCUCCAUGGUUAGGAGAAUUUAUCAGUUUUGCAGAGGACCUGGGUUCAGUUCCCAGCACCCACAUGGUAGCUCACAACUGUCUGUGAUGUCAG